RNAcentral lists this ribosomal RNA (251 nucleotides) under uncultured bacterium. RNAcentral's name for it is "partial 16S ribosomal RNA". It matches the Rfam family "Bacterial small subunit ribosomal RNA", at positions 524 to 777 of the family's 1533-position model. The record is from RNAcentral.
UACGUAGGGUGCGAGCGUUAAUCGGAAUACUGGCGUAAAGCGUGCGCAGGCGGUGAUGUAAGACCGAUGUGAAAAUCCCCGGGCUUAACCUGGGAACUGCAUUGGUGACUGCAUUGCUGGAGUAUGGCAGAGGGGGGUGGAAUUCCACGUGUAGCAGUGAAAUGCGUAGAGAUGUGGAGGAACACCGAUGGCGAAGGCAGCCCCUGGCCAAUACUGACGCUCAUGCACGAAAGCGUGGGGAGCAAACAGGA